UACGUAGGUGGCGAGCGUUGUCCGGAUUUACUGGGCGUAAAGAGCGCGCAGGCGGUCGUACAAGUCGCGUGUGAAAGCCCCCGGCUCAACUGGGGAGGGUCACGCGAUACUGUUCGACUCGAAGGCAGGAGAGGGUAGUGGAAUUCCCGGUGUAGUGGUGAAAUGCGUAGAUAUCGGGAGGAACACCAGUGGCGAAGGCGACUACCUGGCCUGUUCUUGACGCUGAGGCGCGAAAGCUAGGGUAGCAAAUGGG
RNAcentral lists this ribosomal RNA (253 nucleotides) under uncultured bacterium. RNAcentral's name for it is "partial 16S ribosomal RNA". It matches the Rfam family "Bacterial small subunit ribosomal RNA", at positions 524 to 776 of the family's 1533-position model. The record is from RNAcentral.